This 274-nucleotide ribosomal RNA is filed under the name uncultured bacterium. RNAcentral describes it as "partial 16S ribosomal RNA". It matches the Rfam family "Bacterial small subunit ribosomal RNA", at positions 524 to 798 of the family's 1533-position model. The record is from RNAcentral.
UACGGAGGGUGCAAGCGUUAUCCGGAUUUACUGGGUUUAAAGGGUGCGUAGGUGGGUCUGUAAGUCAGUGGUGAAAUCUUCAAGCUUAACUUGGAAACUGCCAUUGAUACUAUAGGUCUUGAAUUAUCUGGAGGUAAGCGGAAUAUGUCAUGUAGCGGUGAAAUGCUUAGAUAUGACAUAGAACACCAAUUGCGAAGGCAGCUUACUACGGAUCGAUUGACACUGAGGCACGAAAAGCGUGGGGAUCAAACAGGAUUAGAACUACGUAGUCAGA